This is a long non-coding RNA of Dryobates pubescens (Downy woodpecker), 94 nucleotides long. RefSeq lists it as uncharacterized. The record is from RefSeq and is a predicted model, not a curated record. The transcript is spliced from 3 exons. Lineage: Eukaryota; Metazoa; Chordata; Aves; Piciformes; Picidae.
CAGGGUGGAUGUGUGUGCCCCGGUGGAAGUCCAGGCUCUUUUGGAGGAAGCAGCUACCAUGGUGGACAGGGUGCGCCGUAUUUUGGAAACAGAC